CCCCUUCUCGGAAUUGAAUUUUUAACAUUGCAAUAAACUUUAUUACUGGCGGUUCAAGGAAGUUUUGUAAGCAAUGGUUGAUGGUGAGGAUAUUGAAAGUUCCAUGGACAAACAAUUCAACGAUAAUGACGGAGGUAAACCGGAUAAAAUGUUUACGUUGAAGAAGUGGAAUGCUGUGGCUAUGUGGAGCUGGGAUGUUGAGUGCGACACUUGCGCUAUUUGCAGAGUUCAAGUAAUGGCUGAGUGACUACCUUUUCUACUGUUAUUUUAUGUUAUACAAAGCUCCGUAAAGAGUUUUUAAUACAUUAUCCGGAAUCAGUUCAAAGAAUUGUGUUAAUAGUAAAUUGUACAUUGUGCCUUGCUGUUAAGAAGAGCUCCACUUGAAUUAUCUACUAGAAUAUUUUGCAAAGAACGUAUAAUAUUUUAUUUUAGACGUUUUCUAUACUUGUUGAGUUUCUGGAAACUCUUUAAAAUUUAUACUCUGUUUCAGAUAGUACCUUUCUUUAAUUAGUAUAAUAUUAUUCGAAUUUUGUACAACUAGGUACCGUAUAUUAUUAUUCUUUAUUUUAAACGGUGUAAUUGUUUUUCAAUAACGGAGAGUAACUUCGGCUGCAACAUAAACCUUUAAACUGCAGAAGGUCACUUAACUGGUGUGUAUACCGAUUACUUUGGCGGAGGGGUAAAAAACCGAAUUUCCGUAUAAAUGGGGUAUGUGCGGAUAGGGGAGCUUCUCCAGAGAAGAAAUAGCCAAAAAUAAUAUAAAAAUAACUUUUAUUUUUUAAAAUAUUCACGAUUAAAAGUUCAAAAAUUUGCACUAAUAACACAUGGUA
This is a long non-coding RNA of Bactrocera neohumeralis, 830 nucleotides long. RefSeq lists it as uncharacterized. Lineage: Eukaryota; Metazoa; Arthropoda; Insecta; Diptera; Tephritidae. The record is from RefSeq and is a predicted model, not a curated record. The transcript has 2 exons.